UACGUACAAGCAGUGGGAGCCUCUUAAUGGGGUGACUGCGUACCUUUUGUAUAAUGGGUCAGCGACUUAUAUUCUGUAGCAAGGUUAACCGAAUAGGGGAGCCGAAGGGAAACCGAGUCUUAACUGGGCGUUAAGUUGCAGGGUAUAGACCCGAAACCCGGUGAUCUAGCCAUGGGCAGGUUGAAGGUUGGGUAACACUAACUGGAGGACCGAACCGACUAAUGUUGAAAAAUUAGCGGAUGACUUGUGGCUGGGGGUGAAAGGCCAAUCAAACCGGGAGAUAGCUGGUUCUCCCCGAAAGCUAUUUAGGUAGCGCCUCGUGAAUUCAUCUCCGGGGGUAGAGCACUGUUUCGGCAAGGGGGUCAUCCCGACUUACCAACCCGAUGCAAACUGCGAAUACCGGAGAAUGUUAUCACGGGAGACACACGGCGGGUGCUAACGUCCGUCGUGAAGAGGGAAACAACCCAGACCGCCAGCUAAGGUCCCAAAGUCAUGGUUAAGUGGGAAACGAUGUGGGAAGGCCCAGACAGCCAGGAUGUUGGCUUAGAAGCAGCCAUCAUUUAAAGAAAGCGUAAUAGCUCACUGGUCGAGUCGGCCUGCGCGGAAGAUGUAACGGGGCUAAACCAUG
RNAcentral lists this ribosomal RNA (628 nucleotides) under Escherichia coli. RNAcentral's name for it is "partial 23S ribosomal RNA". It matches the Rfam family "Bacterial large subunit ribosomal RNA", at positions 561 to 1191 of the family's 2925-position model. Lineage: Bacteria; Pseudomonadati; Pseudomonadota; Gammaproteobacteria; Enterobacterales; Enterobacteriaceae. The record is from RNAcentral.